Taeniopygia guttata (zebra finch) is the source of this 933-nucleotide non-coding RNA. The record is from RefSeq and is a predicted model, not a curated record. NCBI's taxonomy places the organism in Eukaryota, Metazoa, Chordata, Aves, Passeriformes, Estrildidae.
UACUAGACAUUUUUUUCUAUUAGACAUACAUUUAAUUUCAGUUUUCUAAUUACAAUUUUCAAAUGGGUUUAGAAAAGUAUAAUUUUUUUUUCAGAAUAUAAAAUCUGAAUUUGUCUUUAAAGGAGGAAUAAUGUUGAUGGAAAAUCCUAUUCAGCUUUAUUAAUAAGUAGUGUAUUCCAAAGUCACAGUAUAUAUUUUGAUCAAUAUAUGGAAAAAGAAAUAACAAUCAAAAUGACAAAUUUAUUUGUGUGAUUUUUUUCAGCUUCUUUCAAAAGACAUGAAAACUUGCUUGAUUAGAGACCUGUCAGAUUCAACAGGAAUAGCCACAACCUGUCUACUUAAACAAGGGGUCUGCUUUGCUGACUGCUCCCUUGUCCUCUGAGAUCCACACAGACUUCAUCUGAAAAGAUUCACUUCGUCUGCCUGUGAAGGACAAGGGGACCUUCUGACAUCUGCCAGCAUCAGCAGCAAAGACAGAUGACCAUGUUUGGCAAAUCCAGGAAAGGCAUGGGAUUUUUACAGGCAAGGUAACUGUAGCAGUUUCCCCACACCUGAAAAGACCUUCUAUUCUGUAUUCACAGCCAUGCCUGGCUUUUCUUGUUGAAGCAUUUGGAUGAGAGAAGAAAGGUGUAUCUUCAAAUUAAGUCUGCAGAGAAAGAGGUGGGAUUUCUGAACUGGUGCUAUUCUGAGGCCAUGCAAUUGCCAUUGGAUUGUGACACAUGCUUGAAAGAAAAAAGUUAUGAGAAAAGUGAUUUUUCUAAGCAAAGAAAUUGUGACAGAUACUUGCUGUGAGGAUUUUCAGUGAAGCAUUUCAUGAUGUCUUGCAGAAAAUUAUUGAAAAAUCUGCAAAUGUUGGAAGUUCCUAAAGGAAAUAUAUUCUGAAUAGGAGGCUGACAAAAAUGAGGAAUCCAACACAAGUGAGAGACAAAAUGU